GACGAACGCUGGCGGCGUGCUUAACACAUGCAAGUCGAACGGAGCACCCUUGAAUGAGACUUCGGUCAAAGGAAAGGAAUGCUUAGUGGCGGACUGGUGAGUAACGCGUGAGGAACCUGCCCUUUCAGAGGGGGACAACAGCUGGAAACGGCUGCUAAUACCGCAUGACGCAUUCGGAUGGCAUCAUCUGAAUGCCAAAGAUUUAUCGCUGAAAGAUGGCCUCGCGUCUGAUUAGAUAGUUGGCGGGGUAACGGCCCACCAAGUCGACGAUCAGUAGCCGGACUGAGAGGUUGACCAGCCACAUUGGGACUGAGAUACGGCCCAGACUCCUACGGGAGGCAGCAGUGGGGAAUAUUGGGCAAUGGGCGCAAGCCUGACCCAGCAACG
This 387-nucleotide ribosomal RNA is filed under the name uncultured bacterium. RNAcentral describes it as "bacterial SSU rRNA". It matches the Rfam family "Bacterial small subunit ribosomal RNA", at positions 28 to 396 of the family's 1533-position model. The record is from RNAcentral.